This 640-nucleotide ribosomal RNA is filed under the name uncultured bacterium. RNAcentral describes it as "bacterial SSU rRNA". It matches the Rfam family "Bacterial small subunit ribosomal RNA", at positions 232 to 885 of the family's 1533-position model. The record is from RNAcentral.
CGCGGCCUAUCAGCUUGUUGGUGAGGUAACGGCUCACCAAGGCAUCGACGGGUAGCUGGUCUGAGAGGAUGAUCAGCCACACUGGGACUGAGACACGGCCCAGACUCCUACGGGAGGCAGCAGUUAGGAAUCUUGCGCAAUGGGCGAAAGCCUGACGCAGCAACGCCGCGUGGGGGACGAAGGCUCUCGGGUUGUAAACCCCUUUCAGUGGGGACGAAUCAAGACGGUACCCACAGAAGAAGCCCCGGCCAACUACGUGCCAGCAGCCGCGGUAACACGUAGGGGGCAAGCGUUGUCCGGAUUUAUUGGGCGUAAAGAGCUCGUAGGCGGUUCGGUAAGUCGGGUGUGGAACCUCCAGGCUCAACCUGGAGACGCCACCUGAUACUGCUGUGACUCGAGUCCGGUAGGGGAGCGUGGAAUUCCUGGUGUAGCGGUGAAAUGCGCAGAUAUCAGGAGGAACACCAGCGGCGAAGGCGGCGCUCUGGGCCGGAACUGACGCUGAGGAGCGAAAGCGUGGGUAGCAAACAGGAUUAGAUACCCUGGUAGUCCACGCCGUAAACGUUGGGCACUAGGUGUGGGGUCUUAUCAACGGAUUCCGUGCCGUAGCUAACGCAUUAAGUGCCCCGCCUGGGGAGUACGG